AAAAACAAAAAAAACAUGCUCAACAGUUGCCAACUGAAGGAUUUAUUCUAAAGAUGCAUCUCAGAUUGAUGUUAACAGUUCUUCUCUGUUUCACUUCGUGGGUGAACUUUGUCCAAACAUCUGCUGCAUGUGCAAAUAACUGCUGCUGUAUUAGUUGGUCCACGACUCAAGUUAGAUGGACUCAAAUUAAGAACUAUGCCAUUCAGAGGGAAAACCGAUGUCUCAUCAAUGCAAUUGUGUUUGAGACAAAGAGUGGGCAGAUAAUUUGCAGCAAUCCCAUCAACAAAUGGGCAAAGCAGGUUAUUCGGAAAAUGGAAACAGAAGCGAUAUCAUCAGGAAGCAGUGACCAGGGGGAAUAAGACAUUGGCAUCAACAACAAGGAAGAAAUGUAUGGAAAUAAAUCUGUAUCGCUGGGAUUCAAAUUAAAAAUGCCACUGAAAUAUAAA
Cyprinodon tularosa is the source of this 446-nucleotide long non-coding RNA. RefSeq lists it as uncharacterized. The transcript is spliced from 3 exons. The record is from RefSeq and is a predicted model, not a curated record. Lineage: Eukaryota; Metazoa; Chordata; Actinopteri; Cyprinodontiformes; Cyprinodontidae.